CCUACGGGUGGCAGCAGUGGGGAAUAUUGCACAAUGGGGGAAACCCUGAUGCAGCGAAGCCGCGUGAGUGAAGAAGCGUUUCGGCGCGUAAAGCUCUGUCAGCGGGGAAGAAACACGGUUCGCGAGAGCCGCGGACGGUACCCGACCCAGAAGCCCCGGCUAACUACGUGCCAGCAGCCGCGGUACUACGUAGGGGGCACGCGUUAUCCGGAACCACUGGGUGUAAAGGGAGCGUAGCUGGCGAGACAAGUCUGGAGUGAACGGCCGGGGCCCAACCCCGGGACUGCUCUAGAAACUGCCUGGCUAGAGUACAGGAGAGGUAAGUGGAAGUCCUAGUGUAGCGGUGAAAUGCGUAGAUAUUAGGAGGAACACCAGUGGCGAAGGCGGCUUACUGGACUGUAACUGACGUUGAGGCUCGAAAGCGUGGGGAGCAAACAGGAUUAGAUACCCGAGUAGUC
This 458-nucleotide ribosomal RNA is filed under the name uncultured bacterium. RNAcentral describes it as "partial 16S ribosomal RNA". It matches the Rfam family "Bacterial small subunit ribosomal RNA", at positions 338 to 795 of the family's 1533-position model. The record is from RNAcentral.